CGGCGGCGCGAGUGUCUCUGGGCGGGUAGCCGGCGCGGACUGUACCUUUCUAGCCCUGCUGCUCUCUCCGCUGCAGCCUCUCUCCCAGCGCCGCACACGGGGUCUCCGCCAAUCACAGCGCCGCAACGCACGGGCACCACACUGCCCGUGACGUCAAACGGGGCCAUGGCAACCGCGAGGGAGCGAGCGCCUGCGCCCGCGCCUUCCCCACAGGGCGGGGGCCGCACCAACCGCCGCUGGCGUCGGCGCGCGCAGCACCGCGGGGGACACGCCUAGCCCCGCCACAGCCCCUGCCGCGGGCGCGCGCCUUCGCCUCCGACUGCAGCGUGAGGAAACGUGUGGUUUUGUCACUGCUUUUGAAGAUGACAUACAAUGUCCUAUCAUAUAUGAAGGUGUGAUGGCCAUCCUGGUAGCUGACACCAAGGUUUGAACCAGGGACCUCCAGAACUGAAAACAUGAGUCCCUACAGCGUAAUUAUUUCUCCUAGGCAAGAAAACAGGGGAGGUUGGACUCUGAGUUCAUGAAAAUGUUCACUCAUUGCACAUGCAAAAACCAGCAUUUGAAAGAGGCAAGGCUUCCAUGAGGUGCUGGUGGACAUUUCAAUGGCCUUUUUUGACCCACUAAAGGCACCUGACAGAGCAGGAGGGUGACAAUACAGAGAUGGAAGACUCAAACUGGCAGCUUCUGCUCAUAACUCUUGGUAUAGCUGCUGAUGCCCUCCAUGUAGACUGGUGCUUCUUGAGCAGGGCCACAAAUGCAGACUGGUGGUGUCACAUCAUCACGCAGACCUGGGAUGACCAGCAGUGGCUCCAGAACUUUUACAUGAAGAAAGCUACAUGUUUUGGGGGGAGUCUUGUGAGCAGCAUGCCCUGACCCUCUGGUGUCAUGACACAUGUACAAGGACAGCCAUAUUAGUCCAGAAGCAGGUUGCUAAAACAGUCUGGAAGGUGGCUACCCCAGACUGCUACAGAUCUGUUGCUAACCAGUUUAGUGUUGGAAGUCAACUGUGAGUAAAGUGGUGGUGAAAGUUUCUGAAGUUAUCAGAUGUAGGAUUUACCCAAUGGUGGUGGGUGUAAACAAUAUUCCUGAGGUGAUUGGAAAGCUCAUUCUCUCAAAACCAGCUAACUGUGCUGGAGCUAUUGAUGGGAUUCAUGUCCACAGUUUGCCCUCCUCAGGGAGCAAAUGAGUACAUAAACCACAAAGAGCAGCGCUCCAUUGUUUAUGCAGGCUCUUGUGGACCACAGAGGCCAAUUUAUGGACCUCAAGAUGUGAUGUAGUCAAAAGGUUCAUGAUGCAAGGGUUUUCCGUCGGUCAGGAGCCUACUUUUAUGGAUAGGCUAGGACACUAUUCCCACCAAUUGACAUUCUCAUAAAUGGAGUAACUGUCCUCACUGUCGUUCUGGGGGACCCUACAUUCUUUAUCUUGGCUUAUGAAACCAUAUCCAGAUCUCAGAGGGCCCCGCAAAAGGUUUAUUUACAUUCUCAGCAGCUGUAGAAUGGUGGCUGAAUGUGCAUUUGGCAGACAGCACCAGUGGGAUUUAACUCUAUAGAUGCAUUUGGAUUCCAGUGUCAUCAACACUGUCUGUACUAUUGCGAAGAGCACAGCAAGCCACAAUCUUUAUGAAGCCAAAGAUGAGCCAUUUGCCCUUGAAUGGACCUAUGACAGUAAUGGACUGCUGAACCAAUACGCUCAACCAGACAGUGCACCAAUCACAGCACAGGAUGUUCCUGGGCAACAAAAAUCAAGGCUGCUCUGUGCUGCUACAUUAUGGACUUACACAGGCCUAUGGAAAAAGGAGAAUAGCACAUUUCUGACUUUUUGUACAGCAGUGUGUACAGUGAAUGAGGUACUAUCACAUCACAGGGUGCAAUGGGAGUGGGUACUGUCAUACACAAUGAAUGGGAGGAGGUAUUGAUUGUCAUUAAUUUUUAUUUUGGAUGACAUAACUGUUAAUGUAAUGGGGGAUUAUGUAUUUACAUUAUUGAUGUACAUAGAUAUACUGAAAUUAUUUAGUUAUAACUUGUUUAUUGUACCUUACCCUGUUUAUCUUUAUUAUUCAAAAUACACAUUAUAAGA
Long non-coding RNA from Mauremys mutica (yellowpond turtle), 2076 nucleotides. RefSeq lists it as uncharacterized. NCBI's taxonomy places the organism in Eukaryota, Metazoa, Chordata, Testudines, Geoemydidae. The transcript has 4 exons. The record is from RefSeq and is a predicted model, not a curated record.